UUCCGUAGGUGAACCUGCGGAAGGAUCAUUAUCGGUUUGCUUAUGCUGUUUGCAUAGCAAAAACCACCUCUGUCGGGACUGGCUGUGCUUGCAUGGCUAGUUCUUGGGAGCCCGCUUGUCUGCGCGGCUCUGUGACGCCUGGAGCUGUUUGUCAGAAGCUCUGCCCGGGCGGCCCGAGGCUGCUGGUACCGAAGAAUAGUCGGUUUGAAGUGUCUCGCCCAGCCCCAGGUUGUGCAUUUUCCCCGUGUCGGGAUCUGCAUUUGUUUCAAACUCUUGCUGGCUUGCCCAGCCCUCUUGACUGCUGUUGAGAGAAUCAAAACACAACACUAUACAGUGGAUCAUUUGGCUCGGUGGUCGAUGAAGAACGGAGCUAACUCUGUGAUGCCGUGUGAACUGCAGGACAUACGAACAUCGACAUUUUGAAUGCAUAUUGCGGAUUUGAGCUUGUCUCAAAUCCAUACCUGGCUCAGGGUCGGUUUAACAUCCAUCAGCCUCGCCUUUGUGAGUCUGUAUAGGGCAGAUGUUUUGCCACUGGCAGAGCGGUGCCUCAAGUUUUGUCGUGCAGAUUCCACCGACUCGACUCUUGGGAGAGAUCCUGGGUUGUUGUCGAUGACUGCAUGUGCAUGGUGCCUUGGCUGUUGAAUGGCCCUUGUGUGCACCUCCCAUUACACUUUCGACCUGAGAUUAGGUAAGAUUACCCGCCGAAUUUAAGCAUAUC
Molecule: ribosomal RNA, 718 nt
Filed under: uncultured eukaryote
Lineage: Eukaryota
Description: eukaryotic LSU rRNA
Rfam family: 5.8S ribosomal RNA (bases 323-475)
Source: RNAcentral